CCGGGAAGCCAAAUGCCUCUCAUCUGCCCAGAAUCUCCAAGCCAGGCUGGUUCUCUGCAUCCUUUCAAUGACCUGUUUUCUUCUGUAACCACAGAUUCGG
This 100-nucleotide small RNA is filed under the name Pan troglodytes (chimpanzee). Its description in RNAcentral is "processed transcript". Lineage: Eukaryota; Metazoa; Chordata; Mammalia; Primates; Hominidae. The record is from RNAcentral.